Molecule: long non-coding RNA, 9203 nt
Filed under: Homo sapiens (human)
Lineage: Eukaryota; Metazoa; Chordata; Mammalia; Primates; Hominidae
Description: non-protein coding LINC00963:67
Source: RNAcentral
ACUCCCUCUAUUGCCUCUCCAGACCCAGACUUCACCCUCAGGUCACCCUCACCUGGACUUUGGGGUGCCCCACACCCCGCCCCAGGCCCUGGCCUCUGGAAUAUUUGGAAACUUGAACUGGGCCAGAGGCUUAAGCUCACAUCUGUCUGGAGCCUCAACUUUCUCCUCUGUAAAAUGGGCUAACACUGAAAGAACCUUGCAGAAUCUCAGCAACGUCACAGAGGACAUUGUUAGCACAGCCAGCGGGCUCCUGCUGGGCUGAGUUUGUGGGUAAUCCAAGCCUCGGCAGGUACAGUUCCUCCCUCAGCCCAGUGCAGAUGCAUCUGACUUACGAAACUUCAGUGACACCUGCUCUGUGCCAGACACUGAAGAUGGAGCAGUGAACAGCACUGACCCAGCCUGUCCUCCUGUUGCCUGCAGGCCAGAAGCAAGGUCUCGCUGUGUUACCCUGGCUGGAGUGCAGUGGCUACUUACAGGCAUGAUCAUAGCAUACUGCAGCCUCGAACUCCUGGACUAGAGCAGUUCUCCUGCCUCAGCCUCCAGAGCAGCUGGGACUGCAGACACGCACCACAGAGCCCAGCCUGAGUCAUUUUGAUUCUGUAACUGGCUUCCUCUCGGCGGGCAGGCUCACACCCUCCACCCCCAGCUGGAGAUGGAAGGAGGAUGCUCACCGCCCAUUCCUCAUGCAGGCCAUCGAUGGAAAUGUCAGACAGUGCGAGUCCACGCCUGAACACUUCUGGGGUCCGCUCUGGGACUGACACUGGCAGAUCCAUCGGUGAGCUCCCGCCUGCCACCUCUGGGCCUGCAUUGCGGUGAUAGGGCCAAGGGCCUGGGCCUUCAAUUCUCCAGACUUGCCAAAAUGCUCAGCGCAGGCCUCGUCGGCAACUGCAGACAAGCAGAGGCAGCACCUGGGCUCUGCCUGUGCCUGGCACAGUGAAGCGAGGGUGGGGGCAGGAAUGAGGGUCCUCUCCAUGCAAGGGGGGAAGAUAGAAGAACAAAAUUUCACCCUAAUGUAGUGUCUUUAGACCGUGCAAUGUUGUGCUCCUGUUAGUCUGAUAUCAGGGGCUUGCAGCCUGGCAAAGGAAAAAAAACAGGCUGAGGCACAUGAUAGAAGACAGGCAGGGAUGCCACAAUCAUAACCAUGGCAAAGACCAGGAUCAGAAAGGCCCACCAUCUCUGACCCCAAAUCCCUGGGCAGAUGGUUCCAGAACUCAGAAUUUUCCCAGUUGUAGAAAGAUGGGGCCAGGUGCAGUGAUCCGCCUGCCUUGGCCUGCGAUAAAAUUGCACAGAAGUAAAUACACACACGUGAGGAUACGGAAAACCGGGGAAACCUGAGCAAGAGCAGUCAGACCCCGGCUGUGAUGGCGCCCAGUAGUUCUGCGAGAUGUUACCAUUGGGGAAACUGAGUGAAGGCGGGUACCUGGGAUCCCUCUGUUUUCUUUUUUGUUGUUGUUGUUAUUUUGAGAUGAAGUUUCCCUCUUGUUGCCCAGGCUGGGUGAUCCACCUGCCUCGGCCUCCCAAAGUGCUGGGAUUACACGCGUGAGCCACUGUGCCCAGCCUCUCUGUUUUAUUUCUUCUUUUUUUUUUUUUUUUUUUGGAGACGCUCUGUCGCCCAGGCUGGAGUGCAGUGGCACGAUAUUGGCUCACUGCAAGCUCCGCCUCCUGGGUUCACACCAUUCUCCUGCCUCAGCCUCCCGAGUAGCUGGGACUACAGGCGCCCGCCACCUCGCCCGUCUAAUUUUUUGUAUUUUUAGUAGAGGCGGGGCUUCACCGUGUUAGCCAGGAUGGUCUCAAUCUCCUGACCUCGUCAUCCGCCCGUCUCGGCCUCCCAUAGUGCUGGGAUUACAGGCAUGAGCCACCACGCCCGGCUGUUUUAUUUCUUAUAACUGUACAGGAAUCUACAAUGAUUGUAACAAAAAUUUCAAUUAAGGCCACUCUAGGCACAUGGCCUGUGGGGUAGCCCUGCUCAACAAGAAGCCGUCAAAAAAAUGUUUUUUAAUUAAAAAAUUUCUUCAAUUAAAAAGCGUUAUCUUCCUCUGCCCGGAAAGGGUUAAGUGAGUCACUGCAGUUAGCUCCCCUUCCCCCACAACCACCUAGACCAGGCCAGGGACCAGCGGGCAAUUGCCUGGCAGCUGGAGUUUUCCUCCACUGUGGACUGUACUUCUUGCGUCACUCUGAAUGUCUCCAGUCUUUAUUCCAGAAUGUUCUGGUCCUCUCCCACUUUUCCAAGGACAGGAAUUCCCUAGUGGGGCUCCAGAAGAGGCUCUGGAGGAGAACAAGAAAGGCCCUUGUCAUCCAUUGGCCUCAGGCUGGGAAAUCUCGGUUCCACUCCCAGCCCAGCCUCAAUAUUAGGUUGUCAGUCUGGAGUCUGAGAGCCAUGCCCCCACCCCCUUAGUCCUUCACCUCCAGGAGAGUUGGGGAUACUGGAAAGAAUGUUGAGUGUCAGAGCCCCUCUCAGUGGCUCACGCCUGAAAUCCCAGCCCUUUGGGAGGCUGAGGCAGGUGGAUUGCUUGAGGCCAAGAGUUCAAGACCAGCCUGGCCAACGCGACGAAACCCUGACUCUACUAAAAAUACAAAAAUUAGCUGGGCGUGGUGGCACACACCUGUAAUCCCAGCAGCUCGGGAGGCUGAGGCAGGAGAAUUGUUUGAACCUGAGAGGUGGAGGUUGCAGUGAGCUGAGAUCACAACACUGCACUCAAAAAGUAGUUAAUUAAUUUAGUUUAAUUAAAAAAGAAUAUUGAGUGUCAGGCAAUCUGGGUAGAACCCAUUGUGUUUCUACAGGAUAGAAUCUGCUGUGUUCUCUAGCGGAACUUCCGGAUCACCUUCACCGUAUGACUCUAGACAAUCCCUGUCCACUCUUCAGUUUUAGAUGCCCCAUUCAAAGAAUGAAAGAAUUGUCCUAGAUGAUCCUUUAGGGUCUUCCAGGCUGAUGACAAGGGGGACCUGGCCCCUCUGCUGCUGGCCAAAGAGGACUUUACUUCCCAUUCCGUGUGGUUGAACAAGAAUUGCUGGGCUCCAGUCCUGCCUUUGGCCCUUCCCUACAUGUGACCUUGGGCCCUCUUUGCCUUUCAGAAUCAAUACAGUGAGAGAGUUAACACAAGCUCAGGUUAGUAAGUCAUUCAACAAACAUUUACUGAGCGCUUAUCAAAUACUGCAUGCUGGAGUGGACACUGGAGAAAAAGGUGAGGAGAAGGCCGGGCGCAGUGGCUCGUGACUGUAAUUCCAGCACUUUGAGGGGCAGAGGCAGGUGGAUUACCUGAGGUCAGGAGUUUGAGACCAGCCUGGCCAACAUGGCAAAACCCCGUCUCUACUAAAAAUACAAAUAUUAGCCAGGCAUGGUGGUGCAUAUCUGUAGUCCCAGCUACUCAGGAGGCUGAGCAGGAGAAUCACUUGAACUCAGGAGGUGGAGCGUGCAGUGGGCCGAGAUUGCACCUCUGCACUCCAGCCUGGGCAACAUAGUGAGACUCUGUCUCAAAUAAAUAAAUAAAGUGAGGAGAAAAAAAUACCAUCUCUGUCUUCACAGAACUUAUAGUUUGAGAGGGGAGAAUCCCACAAGUAAAUUAUAAAUCUCAGCUGAGAUUAUGCAAAGAAGCAAAGGCCGGACGUGGUGGCUCACGCCUGUAAUCCCAGCACUUUGGGAGGCCGAGACGGGCGGAUCAUGAGGUCAGGAGAUUGAGACCAUCCUGGCUAACACGGUGAAACCCUGUCUCUACUAAAAAUACAAAAAAAUUAGCUGGGCGUGGUGGCGGGCGUCUGUAGUUCCAGCUACUCGGGAGGCUGAGGCAGGAGGAUGGCGUGAACCCAGGAGCACAGGUUGCAGUGAGCCGAGAUGGCGCCACUGCACUCCAGCCUGGGCGACAGAGCGAGACUCUGUCUCAAAAAAAAAAAAAAAAAAGGAAGCAAAGUGCCCAGCUGGGAUGGUGGUUUCAGAGGCCACAGUGGGAGCUUCCCAGAGAAGGGAUGAUUGAGCUAAGUCUAAGCAAAAGGGGUGGUCAGGGCAGCAGCUGCUCCAAAACAGGGGCUGGGGGCUUAUGUGGAGAGAGAAGACAUGGAGAGACCAUGCCCAGAAGGAGGCGGCGGCUUCAGUGAACAGUGCAGGGGAGCAGGUCCGAGGAGGCCGCCUACCAGGGGAAGGAGUCUCAUCUCCAUCCUAGACAAAAAAAGGAUCUUUUGAGAUGCAUUAAGCAGGGGAGUCACAGAUUGGAUUUGUGUUUUGAGAAUCUCCUGCUUACCUAGAGAAGAAGGGCAUCUCCUGGGCCCUCACUGUUGCCUUAAAUGAUUUUUAUUGUGUAUUACUUAAACAUGUGCAAGCAUAAAAUGAGAUAUAAACUCCUUGUAGCUCUUAUACAAGCAUCAGACCAAGACAAAUUGACCCAUCACGUACAAAAUCGAUUCAAAUCAGAUUAAUUUUAUGUGACAUGUUAUUAUGCCUUUUGUCUGAAACCCUGCCACCACCCACAGUGCAAUUAUGGCCCAACCACUGUGGUGUUCUGAAUUUGUGGGACAGAGAAUAUUGGCCUUUUAAACACGUGCAUGCAUGCAUUUGCGUGUGCGCACACACACACAUCCCAAAUGAUUUUUUCCCACUAUAUAUGAAGAACUCCUACAAACCAAAAAGAAAAAGGCAGACAAUUCAAGAGAAAAAUGGGGGAGGGCUUGCAUUAAAGUACUUCAUAACAAGAGUACUUAGGAGGCCAACAAAUACACGAAAAGCUGCUAGCUUCAUGACUCAUGGGGGUGGCUUGGUCAGUUCAGGAUACUGUAACAAAAUACCUUAGACUGGGAAAUUUAUAAACAACGGAAUUUAUUGCUCACAGUUCUGGAGGCUGGGAAGUCCAAGAUCAAGGCAGCAGUAGAUCCGGUGCCUGAGCCCGUUCCCUGCUUCAAACAUGGCACCUUCUUGCUGUAUCCUCACAUGGUGGAAGGGGGAAGACAGUUCUCUGGGGCCUCUUUUAUAAGGGCAGUUAUCCAAUUCACAAGGAUAGAGCCCUCAUGACCUAAUCACCUUUCAAAGAUCCCCAUCUUCUAACACCUUCUAACACCAUCACCUUGGUGAUUAGGUCUUUUUGUUGUUGUUGUUGUUGAGAUGGACUCUCACUCUGUUGCCUAGGCUGGAGUGCAGUGGCGUAAUCUUGGUUCACUGCAACCUCUGCCUCCCGGGCUGAAGUGAUUAUCCUGUCUCAGCCUCCCAAGUGGCUGGGAUUACAGGCGUGUGCCACCAUGCCCGGCUAAUUUUCAUAUUUUUAGUAGAGACAGGGUUUCACCAUGUUGGUCAGGCUGGUCUCGAACUCCUGACCUCAUGAUCCGCCCACUUCGUCCUCCCAAAAUGCUGGGAUUACAGGCAUGAGCCACUGCACCCAGCCGAUUAAGUCUUAACGUAUGAGUUUUUGGGAGAAACUCAAACAUUCGGACAAUAGCAAGGAGAAUACAAAACCACAGUGAGCUACCGCUUCAGACACCAGAGAAGUUUAAGUGAAAAAGACUGGCAAUACCAAGUGCUGAUGAGGAUAUGGAGCAACCAGAACUCUCAGACAUUGCUGAUGGGAAUCUAAAUUAGUAUAACCACCACGAAAGCAUCCGUAAGGUUUAAUUGUGUUGAACACACCCUGCCCUCUGACCAAGCAUUUCCACUCCUGGGCAUACAGGCAAAAGAAAUGCAUCCACGUGUUCAUCAAAAGAUGUAACCUGUGCCAGGUGAGGUGGUUCAUGCCUGUAAUCCCAGCACAUCGGGAGGCCAAGGAGGGAGGAUUGCUUGAGCCCAGAAGUUCGAGAGCAGCCUAGGCAACAAGGCAAAACCUCGUCUCUACUAAAAAGUAGCCAGGCAUGAUGGUAUAUGCCUGUAGUCCCAGCUACUCAGGAGGCCAAGGCAUGCAGAUUGAUUGAACCCGGAAGGUGGAGGCUACAGUGAAUUGUGAUCUCGCCACUGCACUCCAGCCUGGGUGACAGAGCAAGAUCUUGUCUCAAUUAAAAAAAAAGGAAGAAAGAAAGACAUAACCUGGAAUAUUCACACCAACACUAUUCAGGAUAGCCCUAAACUGGAAAGAAUCUGAAUAUCCUCCGGCUUUAGAACAGAGAGAAAUUAUAGACUAUUCAUUCAUACAGGGGAUGAUUGAUCAGCUUUAAGAAUAAACAAACCGUACACAACAAUAUAGAUGAAUCUACAACCUUAAUGUGCAAAAUAGUUCACAUAUAUAAAGGACAAAAACAGGCAAAACUACUCCAUGGUGUUAGAAAUAGGGGUAGAGGUUACCCUCAUGCGGCAGGAGGGUUAGUGAUAGGGGAUUUGGAAGAGGAGGAGCCCAAUGGACUGAACAGCUGAGCUGGAAACAGCAAUUUGUUCCUUAAAGUUCUGAACCCAACUGUUAUCCAGCAUGGAGUCUGUCUGGAGAGGCCAGAUGUGGGGCCUCUCACAGGGGAAUGAGAAGUGCCUCUCAGGGUCCCACCCAUGAUCCCCCUUUCCUUGCCCACACAACCACCAACUGGCAAGUAGUAACCCAGGACCUGUAGCCCCCACUGGCUUGACACAGAGCAUAAUGCAAGCUUUUCCUGCUCCAGGUCCUGGACACCACUUUGCCCUUUGCCCCACACGUACAGCCCCCUGACCAAAAGCUGGGUACUCUGGCUUGACUAGAGGGAGCUAGACUCCAGGAAUAAGUAAGGAGCUGGGCUUCCACGCUAGAGAACAAGAGCUUCUCUGGGGAAAGGGGCUUCCCAUGAAGCCCUGGGGCACUGGGAGAUUAAUGGGCAGACCUCUGGCCUCAGCUUCCAGGGAAGGGGAGGGUGUGGGCCAACAUGCGGUGGCUACACUGACCACAAGCCGAUGACCCCAGCCAGCCUCAGGAUGUCUCAGCUCUAGGCAUGGUUUUUCGUUUUGUUUUGUCGUGUUUUGUUUUUGAGAUGGAACCUCGCUCUGUCGCCUAGGCUGGAGUGAAGUGGCACCAUCUCGUCUCCCUGCAACCUCCACCUCCUGGGUUCAAGCGAUUCUCCUGCCUCAGCCUCCUGAGUAGCUGAGAUUACAUGUGCGUGCCACCUUGCCCAGCUAAUUUUUGUAUUUUUAGUAGAGAUAGGGUUUCAUCAUGUUAGCUAGGCUGGUCUCAAACUCCUGACCUCAAGUGAUCUGCCUGCCUCAGCCUCCCAAAGUGCAAGGAUUACAGGCAUGAGCCACCAUGCCCGGCAUAGGCAUGGUUUUGACAAUCUGUCUCUUUGUGCCCUGGCUCCUUCUCCAACUCCUCUUUGGAGGAGGCACAGGAGGAGGGGUCAUUUCACUGUUCCUGAAAAGUAGACAUAUAACCUACAUGCAACUGCCAGGUGAUAAGGGCCCCAUCUGUCUGGCAUGACGUUGGAGGUCCACAAAGGCUGAUUAGAUGAAUGCUCAGCUCUGGGGCCUCCCCACAGAGCUCACAGACAGGCGUGAAGGAAAGCAGGACUCUUAUUAGAAUAUGUUCAGAGUUUUCACUGAAGAAGCCUCCUGUGUGGGCCAGGCACUGUGCUCAGUGCUUUGAUUCACAGUCUCAUUUAAUUCUCACCAUUUACAGACAAGAAUUCAGCUAAGAUCCUUUUCAAUCAAGUCUGGCAAUAUCUGCCUUUCAAUGGCAGUGCCUAGUCCUUUCAUAUGUAAUAUACUUAUCAUUAUGGGUGGGUUUAAGUUUUAUCAUCUUGCUAUUUGUUAUCUAUUUGUCCCCCCUCUUUUGUUCCUCCUUUACUGCCUUCUAUUUGGUUGAGACUUAAUAAAAUAUUUUAUUCCAUCUUCUCUACUUACUUUUUAGCUAUGCCUCCUUAUAUUUUUGGUUGCUGGAGUGUUACAAUAUGCAUUCUUCAAUAUCCAGUCUACUUUCCAAUAAUAUUACACCACUUCAUGUAUAACGUAAGAACGUUACAAAAAUAUAAUGCCAGGGCUGGGCGCAGUGGCUCACGCCUGUAAUCCCAGCACUUUGGGAGGUCGAGGCGGGCAGCUCACCUGAGGUCAGGAGUUCGAGACCAGCCUGACCAACAUGGAGGAACCCCAUCUCUACUAAAAAUACAAAAUUAGCCGGGCAUGGUGGCUCAUGCCUGUAAUCCCAGCUACUCAGGAGGCUGAGGCAGGAGAGUUGCUUGAACCGGGGAGGUGGAAGUUGCAAUGAGCCAAGAUUGCGCCGUUGCACCCCACACUGGGCAACAAGAGCGAAACUCCGUCUCAAUAAAUAAAUAAAUUAAAUAAACAAAUAUAUAUAUAUAUAUAUAUGUAAUGCCAUCACAUCUUCUCCGGCCUUUGGUGUUAUUGUGGUCAUAUACUUUAUUUUUGUAUGUCUUAUAGAUCCCAGAAUGCAUUGUUAUUUUUACUUUAAAAGGUGGAUUAAUUUUUAAAGAAUUUAAGAAAAGAAAAACAGUCUUUGGACUGCUGGCCACAAAUUCUCUGUUUUAUUUAUCCCCAAAUAGUUUUAUUUUUCCAUUUUGAGAGAGAUUUUCACUGAUACCAUUCGGAGUUAACAGAUUUAUUCUUUCAUCACUUUUCAGAUGCCGUUCCAUUGUUUGCUGACUUUCAUUGAUUCUAUGAGAAGUCUGCAGUCUUUUGCAGCGUUGUUUUCCUAUGUAUAAUUGUCUCCUCCCACCCCACUCACCCCAGCUGCUUUCCACAUUCUCUCUCUUUGAUUUUCAGCAGUCUGCCCAUGAUGUGCCUAAAUAGGACUUUCUUUGCAUUCAUCUUGGCUGGGGCUCACUGAACUUUCUGAAUCUGUAGAUUAAUUUUCUUUUUUCAAUAAACCUUGGAAUAUUUUCAGCAUAAUUUUUUUCCUGUCUUCUUCUCUCUCUUUUCUCCUCUGAAAUGCCAAUUAAAUAUAUGUUAGACUGCUUUAUCCUGCCCCACAACUUACUGAGGCGAAAUUUUUCAAUCACUUCUCUUUGUGCUUCUGAUGACACUGGUGGCCCAUCUGGAGUGGCCGCUGCCAUCACACCAGCUGCAGGGGGAGGUGCAGCCAGGCUGCACAUUCCAUGGAGCCAGCAGGAACUGCAGACAGGUGGGAGCCCCACCUCUUCUGAGCUAGUGGGGCAGGAGCUCCCUGGAUGCAGCCGCAGCCACCCAAGUUAUGCCUGUGGACCCGGGCCUCCCACUGCAUGAAGCAGGCAGAAACCCCACCCCACUAGGCACAGCUGCCACCCAAGUUGUGGCUGCAGACCCAGGGCUCCCUGGGCUCCUGCUAGGGGCAGGAGCAGGCAGAAGCCCUGCC